RNAcentral lists this ribosomal RNA (328 nucleotides) under uncultured eukaryote. Its description in RNAcentral is "partial 18S ribosomal RNA". It matches the Rfam family "Eukaryotic small subunit ribosomal RNA", at positions 1470 to 1796 of the family's 1831-position model. The record is from RNAcentral.
CCCUUAGAUGUCCUGGGCCGCACGCGCGCUACACUGAUGCAUGCAACGAGUUUAUAACCUUGGCCUGAAAGGUCUGGGUAAUCUUUUGAACGUGCAUCGGGAUAGGGAUAGAUUAUUGCAAUUGUUAAUCUUGAACGAGGAAUUCCUAGUAAACGCGAGUCAUCAGCUCGCAUUGAUUACGUCCCUGCCCUUUGUACACACCGCCCGUCGCACCUACCGAUUGAAUGGUUCGGUGAAGAUCUCGGACUUCGAUAUUUAUUCUUUAUUGAGUUUAUAUUGUGGGAAGUUAUCUAAACCUCAUCAUUUAGAGGAAGGUGAAGUCGUAACA